UAGAUGGGAUAUAAAUGAAUAUAUUGCCUAGAACCUAGAGUGUGUAGAGUAUACUGUAGAUGGGAUAUAAAUGAAUAUAUUGCCUAGAACCUAGAGUGUGUAGAGUAUACUGUAGAUGAGGAAAAUAAUCUCUACUGUAUUGAGGACUUCUACCAGGUUUUUUCCCCACGUUGUUCAAAAUGUUUCCAUAGAAUCCUUCCUGUUCAAGAUACUAAUAUUACAAUAAGGGUUAGAUCAGAUCAAUCAGAUUUCCACAUGAACUGCUUCAGAUGUGAUGAUUGUUGUACACCACUUUCUGAUCAGGCGGGUCGGGAAUGUUUUCCUAUUGGGUCAAGUUUACUUUGCCAGGAUUGUCACGUGAAGAGAAUAUCUAGAGAGAAACCUGGAGUCGUCAAAAUAUUAAACUAAAUAUUUCUAAGUAAUCCGUGUAAAACAGUAUUUAGUACUGUAGGUUUUGAGUUUCUAAUUUCUUCCGGAUAAAUUUGGAUGAUUUGGAUCCGCACCAGGCCUUAGGAAAACUUUCAGGAAGCUGUUUAAUAGUAAACAAUUUAAAAAUGUUGGAAAUUAAGAGCGGAAUGUUUCGUAACAGAUUUUCAAAUAAAUCUACCUCUCAUAUGAUAUACAGAGCUUACGGAUGAUUAUUUCACAAGGAAUAAUCGUCCCGUAAACUUUGUUCAGCAUGUCACAUCCAGCUCUGUUUAGCAUCUAAGAGGUACAUUUGUUUUUGAUUUGUGGUUUUUCAUUUUCUUUCUAACUUUAACCUCGUUGGUCAGGGAUGAUAGUUCUGUACACUUUAACCUCGUUGGUCAGGGAUGAUAGUUCUGUUCACUUUAACUUUGUUGGUCAGGGAUGUUAGUUCUGUACACUUUAACCUCGUUGGUCAGGGAUGAUAGUUCUGUACACUUUAACCUCAUUGGUCAGGGAUGAUAGUUCUGUACACUUUAACCUCGUUGGUCAGGGAUGAUAGUUCUGUACACUUUAACCUCGGUAUAACUGUAAAUAUUGUAGAGAAGGGUGACAAACAAAAAAAUUAAAGUCAGAAUAUCAAAGGUAAAUAGGUUCUAUGGGUAAUGUCAACCCUUAGUAUUGAAAUGCAAAAAAAAAGUUUUUCUCUAACUUAAUGAACUUAGGUGGAAGAGGUGUCGUAACAAUCUUGAUUUUUGUUAAGGAUAGGGAGACAAUUCGCUUUUUGUACAGGGUUACCCUCAGAGGAUGAUACAUGUAAGGAUUUUAUACAAAUUGGUUUUCUUACAAAGAAAUUUUUUUUUCUUCUGGUAACCCUGUAUAUAUAUAAUAUAUAUCUAUAUAUUUAGCACAGGGUUCAUAUCUAUCUGUUUAGUACAAAAUAUUCCAACAUCUUUAUAUUUCAAUAUAUCUAUCUAAAAAACUUGGAAAAGUCCGUUUUUUCAUUCAAAAUUUUAGUGUGAAAAUUUUGUUUUUUUUUACGCAACAUAGAUUUAAAUCAUUUACCUAAAAUCUAAUACGAAGAAUCUGAGUGCUAAACACUGUAGAAUAUAAAUAUUCUAUAUUAUAUAUUAAAUAUGUACUCCUUGUUUUACAACUAUUUCGUGGUAAUUUUAAUUGUUAAAUAUUUCUUAAAUCGAAAAAAUAUUGUAAAAGUUAAAAGUGAGUAUUUUUAAAGUAAGGUU
Molecule: long non-coding RNA, 1649 nt
Organism: Eurytemora carolleeae
Lineage: Eukaryota; Metazoa; Arthropoda; Copepoda; Calanoida; Temoridae
Exons: 5
Source: RefSeq, a predicted model, not a curated record